UGGCUGCUCUCUUGGAACCUGAUUGCCUUGCACUCACCUGCUAUAUUAGUGUUCUAGAGCUGCCUCAACAAAGUACCACAAAAUGAGUGGUUUAAACAACAGAAAUGUAGUGUCCUGUGGUUUUGGAGGCUACAAGUCUGAAAUCAAGAUGUUGGUGUAGUUGUUUCCUUCUGACGGCUGGACACAAAUAAAUCCAUAACACCAGCUAAGCAAUAUUUUCAUGUUUCCUUACACUGUAAUCCUCCACUUUUUUUACUUGGUAGUAUGCUUCUAUACUCCUAUUGUCACCCAAAAUACAAGAAUGCAGGACUUCAAGAAACCAGAGGAAAGUCAGGCUCUAGAUAGAUACCUCGCUGCCUUCCACCAUUUGAGGAUAGAAGAUCUCUGCAACAGAAGAGAGCCCUCACUCAACAAUGCCGGUACUUCCAGCCUCAGAACUAAGGGCAAUCCAACUCAUUAUUCCUGGAAGAGUAGCUAGCUCCCACUAUCACACAAAGAUGAGAGGUCGCAUACCGGGGCUAACAGUAGAAGAUUUUGGAAUGACCUUCACUGAUGAAAAGCUUUCAGUGGCUUCUAUUUACCACCUGGAUAACAUGAAAUCAACUAAGUAAAAUUGAAAAAUCAAGAAAUAGCGGGAUCCCUGGGUGGCGCAGCAG
Long non-coding RNA from Canis lupus familiaris (dog), 656 nucleotides. RefSeq lists it as uncharacterized. The transcript is spliced from 5 exons. The record is from RefSeq and is a predicted model, not a curated record. NCBI's taxonomy places the organism in Eukaryota, Metazoa, Chordata, Mammalia, Carnivora, Canidae.